Molecule: transfer RNA, 66 nt
Filed under: Pedipes pedipes
Lineage: Eukaryota; Metazoa; Mollusca; Gastropoda; Ellobiida; Ellobiidae
Description: tRNA-His
Source: RNAcentral
CCAAAAAUAGGUUAAACAUAAACCAAAGGGCUGUGGUCCCUUAAAUCUUACUCAUAAGUUUUUGGU